CUGGCUCAGAACGAACGCUGGCAGCGUGGAUUAGGCAUGCAAGUCGAACGUGAAGCCGUUGAUCAAUCUUUCGGGAGAGUGAAGCGGUGGAAAGUGGCGGAAGGGUGAGUAACGCGUGGGCAAUCUGCCUCCAAGUUGGGGAUAACACCGCGAAAGCGGUGCUAAUACCGAAUGUGGCUUCUCGUGGCAUCGCGAGAAAACUGAAGGUGGGGAUCCUUCGGGACCUGUCGCUUGGAGAGGAGCCCGCGUACCAUCAGCUUGUUGGUGAGGUAAUGGCUCACCAAGGCUUACGGUUAGCCGGCCUGAGAGGGUGAUCGGCCACACUGGGACUGAGACACUGCCCAGACUCCUACGGGAGGCUGCAGUCGAGGAUCAUUCGCAAUGCGCGAAAGCGUGACGAUGCGACGCUGCGUGGAGGAUGACGGCCUUAGGGUUGUAAACUCCUGUCAUGAGGGAAAAGCCGCCCCGUCCCUAAUAUGGGCGGGGCCCGAUGGUACCUCAAGAGGAAGCCACGGCUAACUCUGUGCCAGCAGCCGCGGUAAUACAGAGGUGGCGAGCGUUGUUCGGAUUUACUGGGCGUAAAGGGUGCGUAGGUGGUUUCGUGUGUCGGAUGUGAAAGCCCGUAGCUCAACUGCGGAAUUGCAUUCGAAACUGCGGAACUUGAGUGCAGGAGGGGAGAGCGGAAUUCUUGGUGUAGCGGUGAAAUGCGUUGAUAUCAAGAAGAACACCGGUGGCGAAGGCGGCUCUCUGGAAUUCACUGACACUGAGGCACGAAAGCUGGGGGAGCGAACAGGAUUAGAUACCCUGGUAGUCCCAGCCGUAAACGGUGCGCACUUGGUGUGGAGAGAUUUAACCCUCUCCGUGCCGGAGCUAACGCGUUAAGUGCGCCGCCUGGGGAGUACGGCCGCAAGGCUAAAACUCAAAGAAAUUGACGGGGGCCCGCACAAGCGGAGGAGCAUGUGGCUUAAUUCGAUGCAACGCGAAGAACCUUACCAGGGCUUGACAUGUCGACUCUUCGGAGGUGUUAGCGAAAGCUGCUUUACGAACACAGGUGCUGCAUGGCUGUCGUCAGUUCGUGCCGUGAGGUGUUGGGUUAAGUCCCGCAACGAACGCAACCCCUGUGGCUAGUUGCCACCGUCGGUGAUGAGCCGGCGAGCACUCUAGUCAGACUGCCCGUACAAGCGGGAGGAAGGUGGGGACGACGUCAAGUCAGUAUGGCCCUUACGCCCUGGGCUGCACACGUGCUACAAUGGCCGGCACAGAAGGAUGCAAUGCCGCGAGGCGGGCAAAUCCCCAAAGUCGGCCUCAGUUCGGAUUGGAGUCUGCAACACGACUCCAUGAAGUCGGAUUCGCUAGUAACGGCGUAUCAGCUACGGCGCCGUGAAUACGUUCCCGGGCCUUGUACACACCGCCCGUCACAUCAUGAAAGCCGUCUGCACCCGAAGUCGCUGAGCCAAUCUUAACGGAAGGCAGGUGCCGAAGGUGUGGGUGGUGAUUGGGAUGAAGUCGAAACAAGGUA
This 1519-nucleotide ribosomal RNA is filed under the name metagenome. RNAcentral describes it as "bacterial SSU rRNA". It matches the Rfam family "Bacterial small subunit ribosomal RNA". The record is from RNAcentral.